GCGAAUUUUCCACUUUAUUCACAUAGUCAUUUCAGUAAACACCUGCAGUCAUUUCACUAUCUGAAACGGUAUGUGGAGUAUUAAAGGAGUGCGCUGCGGUUUGUAUUAUAUUCACAUUCUUAUGUUGGGUUUGAAUUCCACUGGCUUGUAUUUUAGCAAACUGUCUGUAUAUGACCUGUACGUUUACAUGUCUGGCAAACUGCAUUUCGAAAACGACAUGUAUUACGCCUGUGUUUUCCACCGCAACUAUAACAAGUUCCUUUAAAUGGAGCUGUGACAUCAGUGCGUGGUGAUAAGUCUUUUGAUUUAGU
Molecule: non-coding RNA, 311 nt
Organism: Pelobates cultripes (western spadefoot toad)
Lineage: Eukaryota; Metazoa; Chordata; Amphibia; Anura; Pelobatidae
Source: the annotation of a GenBank genome assembly